CAGACGGGGGAAGCAGCGUGCACGGCGGUUCCAUAAGCGUUUUCGUCUGGUGCUGAAAGCUUGCUCCCUCACCCAUGCUAAUGCAAUCCAGCUGCGCGUUAGAUGAAAGGAGGAAAAGAGACUACAACACAAAUGGAAUUCAGUGUUUCUGCCAAAAUAAGGCACAACCUCAUUACGUGAGGUUUUUAACAUGCAGUGGUCACUUUUGUCUUAGAGUGAGGACCCGUGGAACACACGGUAAGUCUGAAAUCCUACUUUGUGGUUAUUCACGGCAUCAUCCUGCAGAGGAGGUGGUGGGAGAGGAGGACAGAAGACUAACCCAGGGCCCAUCUUCACGUGUGAAACACUUCUCUACUAGAAGAGGAUGGGUUCUGUUGCUUCUCAAAGAAGAGCUCUGCUUCAGGACAGGUAGCUGAAAGAGCUUCAGUCUCAACGGGCAACAACAGGACUCUGAGGAAAUUAUUGUGUUCUGGCUUCGAAAGGCUUUCAGGCUUCAAAAGCCACCUUCUGUUCUCCAAAGUUUUUGCUCUGCUUAUUUUUUUUCUCUUAAAUAAAGCUAAAAACUCAGUAUGACCUAUACUCCUUGGCCUGCAGGCAGGACUGCAAAUUAUGUAGGACAAAAAUAGUAUGUACACACUACCCAAAGAAGCAUGAGCUCAGUAAACCUUUUUGCUUCUGUAUGAAAUUUGGAUGUGCAAGUAGUCUAGGUAUAUUUGUUCAUAAUAAAUAAGCAAGCAAA
Long non-coding RNA from Cygnus olor (mute swan), 739 nucleotides. RefSeq lists it as uncharacterized. The transcript has 2 exons. The record is from RefSeq and is a predicted model, not a curated record. Lineage: Eukaryota; Metazoa; Chordata; Aves; Anseriformes; Anatidae.